AUACGGAGGAUGCGAGCGUUAUCCGGAUUUAUUGGGUUUAAAGGGAGCGUAGAUGGGAGCUUAAGCCAGUUGUGAAAAGCGCGGGCCCAACCCGCGUCGUGCAAUUGGAACUGUGUUCCUUGAGUGGGUUCGGGGCAGGUGGAAUUCGUGGUGUAGCGGUGAAAUGCUUAGAUAUCACGAAGAACUCCGACAGCGUAGGCAUCCUGCCAGGCCCUUACUGACAUUGAAGCUCGAAGGUGCGGGUAUCAAACAGGAUUAGAUACCCUGGUAGUCCGCACGGUAAACGAUGGAUGCCCGCUGUCGGCGACAGACAGUCGGCGGCCAAGCGAAAGCGUUAAGCAUCCCACCUGGGGAGUACGCCGGCAACGGUGAAACUCAAAGGAAUUGACGGGG
This 393-nucleotide ribosomal RNA is filed under the name uncultured bacterium. Its description in RNAcentral is "partial 16S ribosomal RNA". It matches the Rfam family "Bacterial small subunit ribosomal RNA", at positions 523 to 918 of the family's 1533-position model. The record is from RNAcentral.